CACCGCGGUUAUACGAGAGACCCAAGUUGACAACCACCGGCGUAAAGAGUGGUUAAGUGUACCCUAAACUAAAGUCGAAUGCCCCCCUUGCUGUUAUAAGCAUAUGAUGGUAAGAAGCCCACCCACGAAAGUGACUUUACUCAACUGACUCCACGAAAGCUAAGAUA
This 167-nucleotide ribosomal RNA is filed under the name Grammoplites scaber (rough flathead). Its description in RNAcentral is "partial 12S rRNA". RNAcentral also lists the same sequence under 1 other name. Lineage: Eukaryota; Metazoa; Chordata; Actinopteri; Perciformes; Platycephalidae. The record is from RNAcentral.